This 220-nucleotide long non-coding RNA is filed under the name Capsicum annuum. Its description in RNAcentral is "long non-coding RNA (CANN_LNC012359)". The record is from RNAcentral. Lineage: Eukaryota; Viridiplantae; Streptophyta; Magnoliopsida; Solanales; Solanaceae.
UUUCCGAUAGACCCCCGGUUCAAGAAUGAGAAUAGUAUAUCAAGACCGUAAUGAAAUAUGAGACAUAGUGGAUAACAUAAACAGAAAUAAGAGAUAAGAAAUAAUAACAAUAAAUAUCAGAGAAUUCCGAAAUAAGAGAAAAUACGAGCAAUACACAAUAAAUAUAAGAAAAUGGAUACUCACCCAGUAGUGACAUACUCUCACAAUACCUAAGACACUC